CCAGACGGUCGGACGGCCGCCGGCGGCAACGCUGGAGGAAAGUCCGGGCUCCACGGGAAUACGGUGCCGGCUAACGGCCGGCGGGGGCGACCCCAGGGAAAGUGCCACAGAAAGCAAACCGCCCGGCUUUGGCGCGCGAGCGUCCGCCGGGUAAGGGUGAAAGGGUGCGGCAAGAGCGCACCGCGCCUGCGGCAACGCAGGUGGCAGGGUAAACCCCACCGGGAGCAAGACCGAAUAGGGGUGGCAGGCGCAAGCCAGGGGCAUUCCCGCUCCGCCGCCCGGGUUGGUCGCGUGAGGCGCAUCGUGAGAUGCGUCCCAGAGGAAUGGCCGUCCCGCGCCGCGAGGUGCGGACAGAACCCGGCUUACAGACCGUCUGGCGCU
RNAcentral lists this RNase P RNA (381 nucleotides) under Acidicaldus sp. RNAcentral describes it as "RNase P RNA component class A". It matches the Rfam family "Bacterial RNase P class A". From Rfam's summary of the family: Ribonuclease P (RNase P) is a ubiquitous endoribonuclease, found in archaea, bacteria and eukarya as well as chloroplasts and mitochondria. Its best characterised activity is the generation of mature 5'-ends of tRNAs by cleaving the 5'-leader elements of precursor-tRNAs. Lineage: Bacteria; Pseudomonadati; Pseudomonadota; Alphaproteobacteria; Acetobacterales; Acetobacteraceae. The record is from RNAcentral.